This 390-nucleotide unclassified non-coding RNA is filed under the name soil metagenome. Its description in RNAcentral is "partial contains 5.8S ribosomal RNA, internal transcribed spacer 2, and large subunit ribosomal RNA". The stretch from base 3 to 122 matches the Rfam family "5.8S ribosomal RNA", at positions 37 to 154 of the family's 154-position model. The record is from RNAcentral.
GGUGAAGAACGUAGCGAAAUGCGAUACUUGGUGUGAAUUGCAGAAUCCCGCGAAUCAUCGAGUUUUUGAACGCAAGUUGCGCCCGAAGCCAUUCGGCCGAGGGCACGUCUGCCUGGGUGUCACGCAUCGUUGACCCUCCAAACUCCGGUUCGGGCGGGGCGGAAGUUGGCCUCCCGUGCGUGCCUGCGCGCGCGGUUAGCCCAAAAGCGAGUCCUCGGCGACGAGCGCCACGACAAUCGGUGGUUUUUUUACCCUCGUUCCUCGUCGUGCGUGCCCCGUCGCCCGAACGCGCUCUUGCGACCCUUACGCGUCGCCUCGGCGGCGCUCCCAACGCGACCCCAGGUCAGGCGGGACUACCCGCUGAGUUUAAGCAUAUCAAUAAGCGGAGGA